This 2808-nucleotide long non-coding RNA is filed under the name Salmo salar (Atlantic salmon). RNAcentral's name for it is "lncRNA (ENSSSAG00000083989.1)". The record is from RNAcentral. Lineage: Eukaryota; Metazoa; Chordata; Actinopteri; Salmoniformes; Salmonidae.
CUGAGACCAAGGUGUCUUUAUUUAGACAGGAAGUCAAUGCUGAGACAAGGUUUAUUUUACAGAUGAGUCUUGUAUAGCACCACAAUACACAUCAAAAUACAGUAAACACAUUAAACUACACAUUCAUAUACACAUUAAAAUAUGCGUUAUUAUACACAAAAAAACACGUUAUUAUACACAACAAUACAAGAAAAGCAAAACCCAAUCAUAAAAAACUGACCGUCUGAAAUGCCACAGAGGGUUCCCUAACAACCGUCUGAAAUGCCACAGAGGGUUCCCUAACAACCGUCUGAAAUGCCAUAGAGGGUUCCCUAACAACUGUCUGAAAUGCCACAGAGGGUUCCCUAACAACCGUCUGAAAUGCCAUAGAGGGUUCCCUAACAACCGUCUGAAAUGCCAUAGAGGGUUCCCUAACAACCGUCUGAAAUGCCAUAGAUGUUCCCCUAACAACCGUCUGAAAUGCCAUAGAUGUUCCCCUAACAACCAUCUGAAAUGCCAUAGAGGGUUCCCUAACAACCGUCUGAAAUGCCAUAGAGGGUUCCCUAACAACCGUCUGAAAUGCCAUAGAUGUUCCCCUAACAACCAUCUGAAAUGCCAUAGAGGGUUCCCUAACAACCGUCUGAAAUGCCAUAGAGGGUCCCCUAACAACUGUCUAAAAUGCCAUAGAGGGUCCCCUAACAACCGUCUGAAAUGCCAUAGAGGGUCCCCUAACAACCGUCUGAAAUGCCAUAGAGGGUCCCCUAACAACCGUCUGAAAUGCCAUAGAGGGUUCCCUAACAACCAUCUGAAAUGCCAUAGAGGGUCCCCUAACAACCGUCUGAAAUGCCAUAGAGUAUUGCACCCCUUAAGCAAAUUAGGGUUAAGUGCCUUGCUCAUGGGCACAUCAACAGAUUUUUCAAUGUUGCAUUAAACGGUAAGGGAAUGGUGAUAUGCUAGCAACUUUUGUAGUAUAAUAUGGAUUUUUGAAAUAUUGUUUGAAUGCAAAAGCAAACAUUCUCAUUGUGGAAACAUAGAGCUCUCUACUGGAGUGAGUUAGGAGAGAAGCCCCAGUGGAGAGACGCCCCAGUGGAGAGACGCCCCAGGGGAGAGACGCCCCAGCGGAGAGACGCCCCAGCGGAGAGACGGCCCAGGGGAGAGACGGCCCAGGGGAGAGACGGCCCAGGGGAGAGAUGCACAAGUGCAGAAAGACAUGCAAUACUGUAAAUGACAUUAACACUGAUACAAAACAGAGAUGUACAUCAAAUCACAACAUUGACACAUAUAACGCUGUUGCAAUCCACAAAGUUGAACAAAGUUUUUUUUUUCAAUGAAAUACAAAACCCUUCAUGUGCUCACAUAUCAUAUAGGUACACACUGCUAUGAAGGUUACAGUAAGCACUACCAUGAAGAUACACAGGGUUACAGGUUACAGUACAAACUACUAUAAAGCUAUACAGGGUUACAGGUUACAGUACACACUACUAUGAAGCUAUACAGGGUUACAGGUUACAGUACACACUACUAUGAAGCUAUACAGGGUUACAGGUUACAGUACACACUACUAUGAAGCUAUACAGGGUUACAGGUUACAGUACACAAUACAAUGAAGCUGUACAGGGUUACAGGUUACAGUACACACUACUAUGAAGCUGUACACGGUUACAGGUUACAGUACACACUACUAUGAAGCUGUACAGGGUUACAGGUUACAGUACACAAUACUAUGAAGCUGUACAGGGUUACAGGUUACAGUACACACUACUAUGAAGCUGUGCAAGGUUACAGGUUACAGUACACAAUACUAUGAAUCUGUACAGGGUUACAGGUUACAGGUUACAGUACACAAUACUAUGAGGUUACAGUACAGAAUACUAUGAAGCUGUACAGGGUUACAGGUUACAGUACACACUACUAUGAAAACAUAUACAGGGUUACAGUGUACAGUACUGUACACACGUUGUCACUUCCAUCAGUUCCCUGAGUGGGGUGUGGAGGGAUGGGUUCAGUCUCCUAGUUAGAGUGGAUGGGUUCAGUCUCCUAGGUAGAGUGGACGGGUUCAUUCUCCUAGGUAGAGUGGAUGAUGGGUUCAGUCUCCUAGGUAGAGUGGAUGAUGGGUUCAGUCUCCUAGGUAGAGUGGAUGAUGGGUUCAGUCUCCUAGGUAGAGUGGAUGAUGGGUUCAGUCUCCUAGGUAGAGUGGAUGAUGGGUUCAGUCUCCUAGUUAGAGGAUGGGUUCAGUCUCCUAGUUAGUGGAUGGGUUCAGUCUCCUAGUUAGAGUGGAUGAUGGGUUCAGUCUCCUAGUUAGAGUGGAUGAUGGGUUCAGUCUCCUAGUUAGUGGAUGAUGGGUUCAGUCUCCUAGUUAGAGUGGAUGAUUGGUUCAGUCUCCUAGGUAGAGUGGAUGGGUUCAGUUUCCGAGUUAGAGUGGAUGGGUUCAGUCUCCUAGUUAGAGUGGAUGGGUUCAGUCUCCUAGUUAGAGGAUGGGUUCAGUCUCCUAGUUAGUGGAUGGGUUCAGUCUCCUAGUUAGUGGAUGGGUUCAGUCUCCUAGUUAGAGUGGAUGAUGGGUUCAGUCUCCUAGUUAGAGUGGAUGGGCUCAGUCUCCUAAUGUCCAGCAUUAUGGUCGUAAUGGUGUUGGUGGCUGCAUUUUCCUCAGCCAAUGUAGAGUGGAUGGGCUCAAUUUCCUGGUAGAUGGGAUCCGCCUGUUGUUGUAUAGGAUUUCCAAGUGUGGGAUGUUUCCCUUGCUGCUCCACUGUGGGGGGACUGGGAGGAGGAGAGCUGGGGGGUGGUCGACUGGGAUGGGGACCUGGAGGAGGAGAGCCUGGAGGGGUCUCCUGG